GAACUUGCCUCUUGGACUGGGACAACUGUUGGAAACGACAGCUAAUACCGGAUAUUAUGAGAUUCUCGCAUGAGAAACUUAUGAAAGCUAUAUGCGCCAAGAGAGAGCCUUGCGUUCCAUUAGCUAGUUGGUGGGGUAACGGCCCACCAAGGCGACGAUGGAUAGCCGGCCUGAGAGGGUGAACGGCCACAAGGGGACUGAGACACGGCCCUUACUCCUACGGGAGGCAGCAGUGGGGAAUAUUGGACAAUGGGCCACAAGCCUGAUCCAGCAAUUCUGUGUGCACGAUGAAGGUCUUCGGAUUGUAAAGUGCUUUCAGUUGGGAAGAAGAAAGUGAC
RNAcentral lists this ribosomal RNA (338 nucleotides) under uncultured bacterium. RNAcentral's name for it is "bacterial SSU rRNA". It matches the Rfam family "Bacterial small subunit ribosomal RNA", at positions 122 to 458 of the family's 1533-position model. The record is from RNAcentral.